Non-coding RNA from Coturnix japonica (Japanese quail), 21488 nucleotides. The record is from RefSeq and is a predicted model, not a curated record. NCBI's taxonomy places the organism in Eukaryota, Metazoa, Chordata, Aves, Galliformes, Phasianidae.
GCCUCCAAAGAAAAAACCUGUUGUGGAAUGUGCAAGCUGGUGUUUAAUACAUGAGCCCUUCGCAGCAGGUUGAGCAAUAAGAAGCACUGCCGCUUCCCUGCAUGCCCUGGGAACUGCAGAAGGUUCAGGUGCUAUGGGGCUACAAAGAAAAUCUGAUCUGCUUCAGCUUCUUCUAUGCUCUUUGCCGGGUCACUUCUUAGGAAUAAGCCUGGUACCUGAGGGCAGGUCGCUGGAUGGCGGUUUCUUACUGCCCUGCAGCUGGGGAAGGAGUUUGCAGCCCUUCUGCUGAGAACACAGGGCUGGGUCUGCAGCAACUAAAAAGACUGGAAGAUUUCUUCAAAUUCCUGCAUUGCUGUGAGCUGACACAAGGACACGGGGCUCCAUACGGUAACCAGCAGAUCUGCAGUGCAGGGAAAGUGAUUUCUUGAAACUUCAGCAUAUGCUUUCCAUUUGUGUGAGCUGGCACUGCCACGAGCCAGAGGAGGCUUGCAGCAAGCGGAGCCAUGCGGGACUGGCACCUGCUGGACUGUGAUUGGGUGACUUCUGGACCUUCUAGUACUACACAGGGGGACUGCAGGAGGAUCUGCCUGUCCAGCCACAGUGGGUCCUCUGGCCUGGAUGUGGGGAGCGAUGCGAUGCCAGGAGCUCCUUUGAGCUGGCUGGAGGAGAGCUCAGUUUCCAGUGGAUCUGUGCCGUGAUGCUGACAGAUUUUGCUGUCUACAAGGUGAAUACUGCAGACUCACCACGGUGCUCACCUGUUGAAAACUGCCAACCAUUGAUCACACUUCCAGCCACUUUCCCCUUCUACCAAAAACCUUUGGACCAUUUGGCUGAUUGCAGCCAAGCUGGGAAGAGGAAUGGAAUUCAUGGAGGCAGCUUCCAGGUUCAUCAGAACAGGUCCCUCUGCAGAUGAGAUGCCAGAGAUCCCAUGGAGGCGAGGAGGACCAAGUGUCUUUCUAGAUGCAUGUUGAAAUAGAGGACAAGUUCUGAACAGAGAAGCAUUUUUCAGUACGCCUGUGCAGAGCCCAGUGAAACACACUUCUGAUAUCAGGUGACUGCUGUGCUGUAAAUGCCGUAGGAUCAGGCUUCCAGUGAUGGGAAGGCAUCGGGAGAAGGGUGAGAUGAAUUGCAGUCACAGGGAUGAUCUCCACCACAGACGCAGAUGCAGGAUGGAGGUCCUCCAGGCCCUCACAGGUGAGAAGAGUGUUGAUAUUGAUUUGAGGCAAGAAACAUCUUGCAAUCAGUCGGACUCUGCUUGUGCUACACCUAUUUAGUUGGAUGCAUCUGUACCAGGUCAGCUCUGUGUGGUGGUUGGUGGAAAGGUGGUGAGGAGUGUCCUGAAAACCACUGUUCAGAAACAAACCCGCUUCUGAAAAUAGAUUCCCAAGAAGGAGUUGAGUUCAUCGGUGCUAAGCCAAUUCCAGUGCUUGGAAAAGGCAUUAAUCUGCUGAUGCCAGUCUGCUGAAACCAAAGUUCUGUGCUGAAAAAUGUAGUUUCUUCAGCUCCUAACUUGAAGUGAGUUUUCACGGCUCAGAAUCAAGAACCUCGCUGGAGGUGCAGGCUCUUUGAGCAGAGAUGUGCCAUGCAGAGGGGUGUGAAGGUGUAAUCAUCCCCUGUGACAGUGUGCUGAAGCCCUGUGCCAACCUGGCUGCAUGGGACAAGGGCAAAUAGCUACCACAUGUGAUUUGCAUCUGCAAGUGCUGCAGGGCUGCCCUGGCUGUCACAGCAGAGGAUAAGACUCCAGUGGUCGCCAGCAGGACACCUGGGAAGGUUCUCACUUCAUGCAGGCACAGAGAGAAGAGGAUUUUCAGACAUAUUUUUCCUCCCUUUUUCUGUAGAAAUGAAGACAGACAUUGACUAACAUUUGUUCAAGGCCAUCUAUGUGAAACGUAUCCAAAACAUCUUUGCAAAGCAAAGCUGCAGGCUGCUGUCUGUCUCAGGAUGGGUCUCCACGUGAGGCUAUUGGUGCUCAGCAGCAGAGGUGCCAUUCCAGGUGCCAGUGAUGGCACUGCCUGGCCUGUCCCUGAGGAGGAACCCUAUGAGGAAACAGCUCAACGCUGUGCAAUUGCUCAAGCAGGUACCUCGGGACAUACAGAAGGUCAGCACAGAGCACCCAGCAAUGUCCUGUGUCACUCUGGCACUGAGCCGCUUGCACAAAAAGGCAGAACGUCGGCGACAGGAUGACAAUUGGGUUUGGAUACAGGCUGUCAAUUAAUCAGCAAACUGGUCAUUAAUUCGAGAAGCAGCGAUUGUCCAAGGAUGAAAAAUCACAGUGCGUUGGAGAGCUUUGCAUAGACCCAAAAAGGAAUUCAAAAAACAAGCUGGAUAAACAAGAAGAACUUUCUGUCUGCUCGGAAACAUGUAGGCUAAUGUCCUUGAGCAUGUGCCAGGCCUCCGGGGGUUACGUCCAGGGAACGUGAGUCAAGCCUCGCCAGGGUCUGUCACCUGCAGCUUUGUGUGCAAUGCUAUUCCUUCAAACAUUUCAGGAAGAGCUCUUUGUCUUCAAUCAAGGAGGUUCUUAAAAGCUCUCAUUGCCUCCACCUGUGGUUCUACAUCUUCCUUACAGUGGUAAAGGAGCUGGGUUGGAAGUUCAAGUGGGGAACUUCUCAAAAACCUUUCCUGCUCAGAGGAACUUUGUCAAAGCACGGCUUCAUUUGGAAGAACAUCCUGCUUCACUUUCAUGUCCAAAGCUACUGCGGUGUUUUGCCAACUCUGAGCACAGCAUUAAGAUAAAAGGGAGACUCGAUCCACUUGGCAUUCACGAAUAAGUAUUUUUUUUCCUUCUUUAUUUUCCCAUUAGAAGUGUUCAACAGAAGCUGUAGGUGCUCCGUGUCAUUCAGGUUGUUGCCUGGGGGUGGAACAAUGAAGAUUCUAUUGGAAAGUGGCUAAAAUUUGGGGCCAUGAGCAUGAUGCCAUUUGGCACUUGCGUGAUUUUCCCUGCUCACAGCCACAAGGAUCUGUCACCAGAGGCUGCAAUCUUUGCUGCCAACUUUCAGCCCAGGAAAGGUGUUAGAGAUUGAACUGCACUGUGAUCCUUGGGAAAAGAGGGCAUAUCUUUGUCAUUUUGUUUUACUGACAUUUCUGGGGAUUUUGACAGAAGGAAGAUAGCAGGAAAUUACAACUCCUGUCAGUGAGCAUCCCGAAAUAUUUCUGAGUAAACGAUGGCAGAUGCUUCAAGCCAGAGAUGCUGUUAGACAUUGAGAAAUAUGAUUUUCUUUUACUCUCAGUUGAAGCUCUGAUUAUUUCAUUUUCCCAAGCAGAAGGUCAGUAUGACAUGCACGUCAUAUAUUCAUAUGGCAACUCUUAUAUUUCAUCCAUGCCAUUGUUUUUUUGUGUUUAAAUAGAGAUAAAACAGCUAAAUGCAGUUGAUCACUGGGCAGGAGACAGGCAGUGCUAGAAAAAAAAAGUUUCCCUUGUUUAAGUAGUAUUUCUUACUUAAAAGCAAGUUUUAUUUGGCUUGUGUGCAGAGCUCUGUCUUCAUAAACCUUUAAUCUCAGAGCUGUCAAACCUCCUUUGACCCAGAGUCUUACAGUAAAUAGAGGGGGGAAAAAAAAUGACAAAGAUGCUCUUCUGUAGAAAUGUGAGCUUAGGGAAUGAAGUUCAAGGUGAAAAUCCUGUAGUGUUGUUUCAGCAGCAUUAAUGGAAAUUGAUUCAAUGGAGACUUUUCAGUCUCCAUUCCUGAAUCUCUAAUGUCAAAGCCUUGAGAAAAUGAUAAAGUACCAUGAUUUUCUGAUUUUCCAGGAGAGUUCUGAGUGGCCUCUGCAAUGGAUGAGAGAAGGCAGACGGCGUGGAGCUGUGCUGGGGACAUGGCAGCAUGGAGGUCAUUAAACAGGCCAAGCAAGUUCAGUAUGUCAAAUGACACUUGGUUGAGCUAACUUGGUACUGCUAAAACAGCCAUGCUUCUUGAGGUUCUGUGGGAGUGCUGGACAAGGAGAAGGUUGGAGGAGUCGGGCGGGAGCUGUGCUAUUCCCUGCAGAGCCGGAUGCCAGCAGUGCUAUCCCAAGGGCUGGUUGAGAACAGCAGCUUUGGCAUAUUUGGCUUUUGGGACCCUGGAGACCUGAUGAUUGAGAUGAGAAAUAAAUCAGCAAACAAGCUGUGUACCUUCCUGCAAAGUGUUUGCAGCCAAGCACCAAGUUACAGGCGCCUCUCUGCAUAAGUGGGCUAGGCACAGCAAGCACAGCACUCACAGCACUUGAUCAAAGAAUAAUUUACAGAUAAUCUGAGUCUUGGGUCAAAUCCAUCGUUAACUAACCAAACCUCCCUCAACCCCAUGUUUUAUGAAGUUUCCACGUGGAAAGGCUUUAAUGAGUUCCUGUUCAUGACGAAACUUCCUAUGUUGGAUACAGCCCUGAAUCUCAUGCCAGCACUGGCUUAGCAUGGGUUGGUGCUGCUAGACCCAGACAUCUGGAGCUGCGCUGUGUAGGUGCUGGGUCAUCGCAACGCCUUCCAAUACAGCCACUCCAGGAGUACUGGUAGAUGCAUGACCCAAGGUGAGCAUGAAGAUGGUAGAGCACUUUACCUACUGGAGCAACUUUAUGCUGCAAUCUGAGGGCAGAUGGAUACCAGCUCUUUCCCUCUGGACAGGAUUUCUCAGAAAGACACCCACAUGAUCACCAUGGUGCUCACAGAAGCCUUUGUUGGGAGGAAGUUCACCCAUCCUGGCAAGGGGAGCAGGAGGGAGAGAAGCCCAUGUGAGGUGGAUGCUGUGUGUGCUGCAUGUUCCUUCUCUGAUCAGCCUGGCCAUAGAAAGAUGCAAUUCCAAGUGCCAGCCUGCGAAGCCAGAGCAGCACAUCCCUCCUGCUGUGCCCUCUCCAGGAACCAACACAGAAGGUCCUCAGGAGGCUGAAAGGGGCUUCUCGGCAGAGCUGCGUGAGUCAGUUUGCACGCUGGAGCCUUGGUCUUCUCGUGACAAGCAUUAGUCAGAGUGUUCCUGGCACGUGGCAGGAGCUUGAACCCCGCGGGUCCAGCGGCUUAUGCCGGCCUUUCUCGAGGUGGCUGCCGUUCAGCGGCAUGCAAGAUGAUCCCGCUGAGGAGCAGCAUUCUGCUGGGGUCUGCGGACUGAGAAGCCCUCCACAAACCUCCCUUAUGGCUUUCCAUUAGAGCAGCUAUACAUAGCUCCUCUCGGGAUCUACGGAGUUGCAUUAACAGGCAGACAACAGAAAGCACAAAUUUAUCAAAAUUAAAUGGAAGUCAAGAGAACAUACUGUCUAAGGCAGCGAGGCGGUUCAGACAGCUCUGCAGCAGCCUAAACAUAUGACAGACUCAAGCAGCUCCCACCGCUGCCAACACAACUGCUCGCGGGGUCUGCCAAGAAGCCAGAUGCUGCUGCUGGAAAAAAUAUCUUCCAGAGUUUGGCAUCAAGAUCCUGUGAUUACCAUCCAAAUGGGAGGAGAUGGAGUGGUAGAAUAUGUUAUCUCCUUUCCUGUUGGAAAAGUGCAAACAAAGCCAUUAAUCAUUAUCUCCCAUCCCCGUGGACAUGUCAGAUCUUUUUACAGGAGAAGUGGACAGGAAGCAAGGAGCAUCUAUUCCCUCACUGAGGAGCUCACAAGGAUUUCUGUGAUUCUGUGAUGACUGCUUACCUGUACGAUCUUCCAGAACCAUUUUACACAGCUGAGCACGGAACGCUGCUAAGAAGUUGGAUGUUUGCCUGUCUCAUCUACGAAGGGAGCAGCCAACUGCUGGUUACCUCCUUAUGUUAGUAUCUGGCAUUUGAUCAUUCAGAGAACUACCUGAAGCUCGGUUUUACUUGGAUGAUGUAUUUCUUCUAUUUUUCUGAAGAAAGCACCUUCAUUUCAUCUGUAUCUGGAACUGACAUAGAAAGCAAGUGGGAGCCCAACCUCUAUGGGCUUUGUCCCUGGAGAGCCUGAAAGGACACAUCAGAGCUGCUUCCCGAGGCUGGUGUGCAGGACUGUGUGCAGGACUUCCAGAGGAACAUCUGGAGCUCUCCACGGACCAGCCCAACCAGCAAAAGCUUACUGAAGAAGGGCAGUUUCAUCGCCUGCAUCAAGCACCCAGGAGCACAGCUGGCUGAUGCCACUGCCAGCAUCCAGGCAGACUCUUGUGAUCCCAGCCACAGCCAGCAGCCUGCAUGUAGAUUGAUUUCACUCUCAGUUUUGCAGCUCGGGCCAACUGGGAAUGUAAACCGCACUGACCAAGCAGAGUUGGGGAAGUUGCCAGCAAAUGCAGAAAAAAGGAAAGGAAGGAAGAUGUGGAAAGCAUGAGGUAAGAAAAUGAAUGCUGUUUUUUAAUACUCAACGUUUUCAUUUGGGCCAGGCCUUGCGAAACUGUCACAUUUCUAUGACCUUCUUUUCGGUAGAGCAUAUGAUCUUAGAUCAAUCCUUCAGCCUCUGGGUGGAGCUUAGCUGAACGAACCAUUGACAGUGACACCAGGUGGGUGCACACCUGAAAACCCACCUGUCUGUCACUGCCAUUUUGCAGGUUGGUUCAACACACAGUGGACAGAUGGAGGUUCUCAUCUCCAUUCAGGUGGAGAGGGGAAAUGUGACCAUCUACUGUACCUUUCCCUCAAAUUUUAAGAGUGCAUGGCCCCAAGAGUUGGUUCUGACUCCAUUAAGGUAAACUUAGUCCUCUAGAGGGCAUGGUUACACUGAUUAUAUAUUUAAUAAUUGACUAGUGUUACCUUGGCUAUCUGUUUGCCUUCCUGGCGUAAAUCAGGAAUAAAAGCACCACUAGUAGUAGAGUUUCAUUAUCAUCAGAUUUUCCAUGUAGUCUCUCUUCUUGAGGAGGAUAAUUGCAUAUGGUCCAGAAGCUUUGGGUUUGAUGGCUGGGGAAGCUUUCCAAGAAGCACCUGUCAUUCUGUCAUUGCUACCAAAAUCCAGUGUCAAUGCGUCUGUUUUGCUUGUAUUUGUGAUCCCUCUUCGGUUAUUCCCAGCAUCCCUUGGUAGCAGCCUCUGCUGGGCCACCUGGAUAGCAGAGUAAUGUUGGGUUCCCCAUGCUAGAAUCCAUCCUUAUCAGAAUAUAUGGCAGCUGCAGACAGUAGAUGGCAAUUAGUGAGAUUUAGGGAUUGUGGUGACUGAACUACCUCAGACAAAUUUCAAGGAUAACAAAAUUGUGCAGAUGUAAAUAUAGCCACCAUCUGUCCUGCUGUAUGUGUUUCCCUGAUGCACACACAUUGCAGAGGCUUGAAUCCAGGAGCCUGUCAUCCCAAGGAAGAUGCUGUGCUACCUGAUCCAAAAACUCACCACCUUCUCUGGGGUAGCACAAGCCAUGCCAAGCUCUUUUAAUCUGGAGGUCACAUCUUUGUAGACCUUAUGCAAGGCUCACUUGUCUGUCAUGCAAACACCUGCAUUUUAUUCUGUUUUACAAUAUUUAAAUCCCCUUAUAAAAUAAACAGCUACUGGCUGGAACCUUACCCAAGCCUUAUGUCCAAGAUCUGAUGAAUUUAAAGCUAUUCACUAAGGUGCAUUGGAGAAAUAGAAGGACUGGAAGCAGCCAUCAGCUAACAUUACGAAUAGAGAUGUAUUGGUCUAUUUUUUGUGGCUCCCCUCAGCUCCCGAGUACAUUCCAUAUGCACAACAUGCUAAGAUUUCUUUCUUUGGAUCAGUCAUAGUGCCAAACCAAACCAACACCUAGGAACUGCAAAAAGUGUUAAUCUGUACUAAUUUGUUAUCAUCACUGAGCUGUGCUGAGCAGUAUCCCUUUACUUCUCCUUUUCUUUAGUUAAAGCUGGAAUCCAUCCUUAGCCAUUGCAUCCCACAUGUCUGUUACAGUCUCAUAUUCUCUCAACUAGCAUAGUUCAGAUCUUCAGUUGGUUUUUCUGUGCUCAGCCUUUUUCUCUCUCCAUCUCACCUGCUGUGCUUGCUCUUACUGCAGAAGUCUGGGGGGCAGAUGUGUGCUGUGUUUUAAUCAGCAGCUCCCUGCCCUUAGACACCUUCACUCUGUUAUAGUGUUGAUCCUGUUAUCAGAGUUAAUAAACAAUAACAAUAGGAACCAGUUAUGCAGAGCAAAUUCUCAGGCUGCACUUACAUGGCCAGAGGCGCUCAAAUUAGCUCUUUUUCAGCAUAUCCAGAUACCUCUGUGUUGUGCUGUAGUCUGCGGUGCAGACAUCCCUUGACACCGCUGUGGGCUGGAUGUACUUGCCUAUGUUUUUGCAGCAUACAUGAAAAUGCAGUAUUAGCCCAUGAAAGAGGAAGGAGGGGGUUGGAAUGGGGCUGCAUUGGCUUUCAGCACUGGACAUGCUGUCUCAGAUCGUUGUUACUGCAACCAUUUCAUUCUAAUUCAUCCAUAUCAGCCAUUUUUAGGUCUUCUCAGCAUUUCACUCUUGCCAUCAGGCCGAAGAAGGCUUUGGCCAUGCUUCAUUAUGCUUGGCUGGUGUCAGCAUAGGAGUGAGUGACACUGUUAUCCAAGUCUAUCUCUCCACCACAAUGCAGACAGCCAAGCACUGUUGGCCCCAGUGGAUAUUGCUCAGCAGAUCUUUGUCAGGCUUGUUCAAACAAGAUAUGUUACCAUUGACCUAACAGCUAAAAGUUCACGCCUCUGACUCUGAGAUACUUCUUGUCUUGGUGUCAUUUGUUCAUUGAAAUAAUUGGUUGUUGUAAGAUUAUCACAUUAAGAGGGAUUUUUGUUUGUUUUGAGAAGAAUGGCAUUGUUCUUAGUAUCAGAUACUUGGUAGGUAGUUUAUUCUCUUGCUUCCUAUUCCACUGUGGGUUUGAGUACACAAAAAUCAGAGAACAUAAACCUUGAACAGAUCCAACUGCUAUACAAACCUCCUCUUGUCUUUGCCAAUUUAAUUCAUUGCUGGCUAUGCAGCUCAGGCUUCUUGUAAGUGAAAGGUGCCAAUCACACAGAAUUAAACAGUGGUUUUAAACAAAGCCAACUCACCUGUUUGCUGGAGACUUGAAUCAGACCACCAAACAGAUUUGCAGUUAUGCCUAGACAUGAGCCAAAGCCACGGAGUCCAGAUCCAAAACUGGCUUGAGGCUCUCAAGGUCUCAUCUGGAUGGACUCUAUGGCUUCUUAACAUAAAUCAUUGUAGGAGAUGAAAGAAUAACAUCAGAUUGGACCUCUGAGGCAUGACAGCACAUCCAGUCCUGAUUCAGAGCCACCACUGAAUAGGACCUAACCAACACCUCAUUCACUGGACAAACAAAUUUGCAGGUUUUGUUCUGAUUUGAUCUAUUUUUGAUGACUUCUGGGAUUUACGUUCCAUUGCCUCAGUUCCCAGGUCCAUAUGAAAUCCUGGAUCAGUCCAAGCAUUGCACAUCAGAACUGAUGUUGGCCCACCCUAAUUUCACAAUGAUUCCUUUACAUGUAGAGCAGAGUGUUUUUGGAUCUGGCAUCCAAAAUAGCUGUUUCUCUUAACAUUUGUUGACUGAAUUCAGGGGAGCUGGCUGUGCUGGGAAUUCAAGGGGAAAGACUGCAUUUCAUGAGGCCUUUCUUUUUUUAAAGCAAGCUUCAAAACUAGUAUUUACUGUUGGGCUGAUAAGCAGCCCUGUGCAUUUAAUGUGCCCCCCUGGAUGUCGAGUUCUGAUCUAAGACAAGUAACAAAACUCAUCUUCCAAGGCAGAGGCACAGCACACUGAGCAGCCAACUGCAUUAAGUUAUUUUGCAGGACAUCUCGGGAGCCAAGAUCCAGUCUUCUCUGUAGAAAAGCUGUGAGAGAUCAUCGCGCUUCUCACAGAGCAGUUUGCCUUUGAGUCUGCAGUCCAACAUUUCUGGGAUCCAUCAGGAAAGAUUGGCAACCAGGCACCAGCAUAGUGCUGGAGGGUGGUAGCCAUCCUGUAAAGAUUUAAUUUCUGAAGCAGAGUGACUUCAUGGAGCCAAGAUGCUGUGUGGAAGGGUGAGCACAAAGGUUCCCCCCGAGCGCAGGUCAGGCAUGUGGCUAUAGGUCUGUGGAAUUUUAGCAUUUCCGACUUGAAAUUCUUGUUACUGAGCUUUCAAAUUUCCUUUCAAGUUCCUAAUUGCCAACAGCCAAACCAAACUAGUUUGAAGCCCUAAGUCUCUCUGUCCAUCCACAGCCUAGCAGCAUUGCCAAGUGAUAUUCUGUUACACCACUUAGGGAUAGAAAAUAAUUUGCGCUUCGAUGUAUUUCUAGUUUUAAAAGAUGCAUUUCUUUAGGUUUUGUUUUUGCUUUUUCGUCCUUCAAUGUGUUUACCUCCGUGGAGCCCCUUGCCAUCAGAGAUCAAGGGCUAAUUCUUUCAGGUUACUUUGUGGGAAUUUAGGUAAAUAAGUGGGUAUUCCCAUAAAUCAUGUUUUUCAGAGGUCAGUGAAAGUGCAUGUAUCUCCAUUGCCUCUGGAGGGAUUUUUAGCCUUAGCUUCUUGAUAAAAUAAUUAAAUGCUCUUUUGCUGACCAAAGCUCAAACUGUUCACCAAAUCAUUGCACGUUUUGCACGGGACUUUGAGAACGAGGCUGCCUUAAUCCCAUUCUGCAAAGAGUCUGUGCUGAAGACCUUGGCUUGAGCUUGAGUUGUGGGAGGAAAACAGCAGGAAACACCACGCAUGAGGUAAGUUCACAGACUGGGGUGCUCCCUGCCUGCUCCCAGCAGACAUCUCUCUGCUCCCCACUUUCCCAGCACAUCUGUGUGCAGGGCAGUCACACUGCCUCCAUGCAAGCACUGCACCCCUCUCAGCCUCACCCCACUUGGAAGCAUGACUUCCAUGAGAGCAGACACUUUUAGUGUGAAAUGGAAAGGACCUGAGUGCAGAUUGAGGACAGGGAGUAUGGAGCAAGGCAUGCUGUCUCCAAAGCGAGGAAAAAAAAUACAGAUGUAGAAACAGGUGUUCAGGAUACGUCUUUCCCACCUUACAUCCCUGUCCAAGCUAAUCCACAUUUGAGGACACAAAACAGUGUAAGCAUUCCUCUUUCUCCCGAUACAACUACAUUCAUUCUUCCAUCCCACAGCUUUCAGCACCAGGCGUAUUCCAUCCACACAGAGCAUAGCUUGCAUACCUCCUCAACCACAAACACACAUCCUACUCAUAGUCUUCCAUGCUUGCAAGCACAGAGCAAGUGGAGAAUAUUGCACUUCACUUAGAUGUUGGCCAUUGCUCCAAGGUGUGUGUGGUGAGCAGGAGAUCCUCCUCGUCACUGCUGGUUCUCCUCAGCCACACUAAAUCAGACAGUCAUUGCUUCUUCUUUUUCAAAACAAAGUGAUCUGUGAAAUAAAGGGAGAAAAUGUGAUUCAACACCUGUCAUAGUUACAUACAGGUGGUUACCAUCUUCAGAUGGAAAAAAAUCUGUCAGAUCUCAUGCAGGUGUCACUCACAAGUGGGUGUACUCACUGCAUUCAGGGUUCCCCUUGGAUAAAAGGCAAGUUGUGAUUGUUGUGGGCCAUCUAGUAUUCUUGCUGAGGAUGUGAGUACAUUUUGAUACCAAGGAUGCAAUGGUUUAGACUUUGGAAUAGAAUGGUUCAAUUGGAGAGUCCUCUGGGUGUCAGACAUCAGUGCCUCUGCAGCUCACAGGGAAGAUCUGUGUCUUUCUCUACCCAAAAUGGUGAGCUCUAAAUCCUGAUCAGAGUGUUUGGCAUGAGGUUGCCAUACCAUUCAAAUUAAUAGAAGUAGACCAUGACUGUGAUUUGUUCUUUUUUCCCUCUUGUCUGACAGAUGCUCAGAUUUGUACUACAGCAUUAAUAAGUGUGAUUAAUUCUUUGUGGUCUGGAGAUAUUGGAAAGUAGGUAUCAGUAGGAUGUGCCAGGUGAGGAACUGUACCAUUCAUAGUGUUGAGUGAGGUAGAAGGCUGCCUAGAGCCCUUGGGCUAUCGGUUUCUUAUCACGGUAUCAUUAACAUAUGUACUUAUGUCUCCCGGAAAAGGCUGUGAGAUUAAAAAUGCCUUUUAUGAUGCCAUACCUCCACACUGCAAUGGCAGUAUUGCCUCUGACCUUCAAUAGAUCUGAGGCUUUUCUUGCUUACAUGUUUCUGUGGGAUUUUGGCAGUGCUUAUGUUUACAGCAUACCCCAGAAAAGCCACUUUGGGGCACAGGCUUAGUGGAAAUGCUCUCAGCCAUUUCUGCCAUGACUUUUUUUUUGCAUGUUUUUGGGACACGGCAGAUGUGGUCAACCCCUUCCUGUUCCUCCUGAAUCCAGCAAAUGAGGAGGGAGGCUGGUAUUUUAACGCUUCCUCCAGGCAUGUUACCUGUCCCUGUCCAUCCGGGCCUUGGGUAGCCUUUCUUUACCUCCCAGCUGUGGAUCUGUGUAGGCACCAGAUUAUUUCAAGUAACAUUUCGGAUGGACAUGAAAAAGGAAAAAGAACUAAUUUGGUUUCCGUGGAAAUGCUGUCUUUGUAUUUGGCCCUGGCUGCCAGGCGUGGAAGUAGCUGUGAGAUUUGGGCUGUAACAGGUUUGUAAUUCUAUUGAGUGAUGGUUGGAGGGAUGCUCUGAAGCAGUUCACACAUCCUCACACAAACCAGUUUGCCCAUUCUGCUGGCAUCCAGUACAGCUGCUCAGGGGUCUAAAGCUGUUCUGGAAAUCUGCAGCCAGUGAGUCUCACCAUUAAUUCUACCAUCUCACCCUGCAGAUCUGACCUCUUUUAAGAGUGAUUUGAUGUUUCUUUAAGCAACACCCCGUCUCUAUGAAGAAAUGCCAACAGAGGAGAAGUUUCAGGCUUGCUAUUUUUAUUUAAGCUGUUGGAACAGUAUGGACAUAAUAAGUGUUUUGGAAUAGACAUCAGUGUCCAGAGCCCAUUGGAAGCAUGCUGUGUGCAGGCGUCUCCCAACGCUUGAUGAAGAGUGAAAAAGUGAAGAGUGAUGCAGAACAGCCAAACUAACAUAUUCAGGAGAUACAGGUCCAGAUUGUGGAAAAUGUUGAGGGUUUGGUUUUGUUUGGAUUUCUUAAUUUAUCUUUACUAACGAUUAUGUGAUCGGAAAAGCAAUGAAAAUGUCUUCUUUAUGAAAAAAAAAAACACCUAAAAAACAAAAUACAGUUUUAUUGAAAGGCUGUUUUGUAGGAAGCAGGAUGAGACUUUGGGAGCCUGCAAGGCCUUUCUGAUGCCAUUCAGCCUCCCCAUGUCUGAGUUCUCCUGGUGGUGGGAUGGAAUCUCUUCAUGUUUUUCUUCCUCAGUGCAUAUGAUGAUACAGGCAAGGUGUGGUGAGGUGAAGAUGUGGUCAUGGGAGCCAAUAGCAGAAGCAGAAUGCUGCUCUCCUAAGAAAAUGCUUUUUGUCUGUUCUUUUAACAUAAACAGUGUGUUCUUUAAAGAGCACACUGGGCUGUGAUGUGGCUUAGAACAGACCUGUAAGAAUUAAAUCCUGUUGCCAUGAAUCUAUAUUCUUUAAAAAGCAUGGAGAACGCAGCUGCUGAAGGUUUUGCUACUAUGAGUCCAGCAUGGUGAGCUUGCUCAGUCUACCAGCAGUCUUCAAGAUAAAGAGCUGUGUAGGGUAUUGACCUUGGGGAGUAAUACUGAGCACAGCAUUAAGAGCUAAUGGCUGUGGUUUGAAAGCUGGGAUGGAGGUGGUGUAGGAUGGCCCUGGAUGGGACAGAAAGCCAGGGGGAGGUGAGGGCUGAGUGUGAGCACGCUGCUGGGUGAGAGGCUGGGGGACAGGCACAGCAGCAGCUGGGCUGGGGACACAGGUCCAUGAGUCAGAGCCACUUGAGUCUCCAGCAGCUGGGGGCUGAGAUGCACCAGCCAGGCACUGGGAGUUACCUGCUUGAGUCCUGGCUGAGAGCUCACAGCAGACUUCCACUCCUUUUUCAAAACAGACCAUUUAUGUGACCCUUUCAGUCCUUGUUUCUGUUAGCGGGCCAAACAAGUUCUAAGUGCCAACAUACUGAAGAAGUGGAAAAGUUAGUUUAUAGAAGGGAAAAAAAGGGAAGGAGAAGAAAAACAAAACCCAAGUUAUUUCACAAUGUUUGCAUUCCCAUGCCUUAACCACAGUAUUCCCAGCACGCGGAUUUUUAUGGUGCAUCUGAGAACCAACCACAAUGCUAAAGAAACUUCAAAAGGAAAGUCAGGAGGAAGAAGUGUGGAGGGAAGUCAGACGGCAAGGAGCAGAGCAUGGCAGCAGCACUGGGUUUGCUGUUGGCAGUGCUUCCCACUCUCCUUCAGUCCCAGCUGGGCCCCAAGAGCAGAGGACCCUGCAAGGCAGCCUGUGUUAAGGUCAUGGAGGUCUUUCUUUCCACUUGGGGAUUUCAAUGCCUUUCCCUCAUGGUUUGUAUCUAACAGAACGUAUUGCUGCAGCAGAGUUCAUCAUCAGUGUGAGUGCUCUGUCAUAUUCUGACACAGAUUCAAUAUGAUUUUUGUUACAUUACUGUCCACUUGGCUUCAGUAAAUGUUAUAGACCUGCUGUUUGCAGCACAGUCUGUCUUCAGUGGAGGAGAUGGCCUUGACCAAAAAAAUUAAAGACUGUUAUCCCAGUUUAUUGGAAGAGAACAGAAAUACCUGAGAUGUUCAAGAAAGCAUAACUCCCUCAACUGCAUUCUGUAAGCAUCAGAAUGGCCUAACCAGCUUUCAGAAGUGCAUCCCAAACCUUCUGGCUCUGAAUUUUUCUCGUAUGACCAGGGGAACCUUUCCAUCAGCAUCACUGUGUACCUGUUAGCACUGAGACUGUACCACUGUAGACUCUAUUGGAUGUCUGAUUGCCAGGUGGCCUUAUGAACCCAGGAAGGAGGACAUGGAGAAUAUCUGAGGAUGCAUAGUGUGACCGUCAGCCUGGCUUACACAUCUCGGGUUUAUGGAGUGUUGCUGAAGAACUUCUCCCAGGCUAAAAUGAGGAUCAGUUCCAGGUUUCCAAUCAUAUCAACAGUAGGAUCGUGAUUUAUUUCUAAGGUCUGGGGCUAAAUUGAGCUGCCAUCAAGUCUUGUACAGUUCAGCUGAUUUCAACAGAGACACCCAGGAGGGCACAACUGGUCUGACUGCAUGUGUGAUGUCGUGUGAUGCUGUGGAGUCUCCUAGAUGGAAGGUGCUACAGAGGUGUGAAAAAUGGGAUUUCUUUGGAAGUGCUGAGCUUUUAAGAACUGGGACCCAGACUUGGAACAUUAUCAGAGGUGAUGAAAGCAGCUAAAACUGACAGCUUUGCUUCAUGUUUUGCAAUGAGAAAUGAUAUCAGAUACAGCCUGGAAAAGAUCUGCCACUGUGUAAUGAUCCAGCAACUCAGGAACUCCCGAACUGGCAUCACUCCAGGCAGGUGCCCUGUUAAUGCUUCCCGGCCCCAUCUGAAGCUGCAUCGAGCUGCAUGGAAGCAUCAACAAACUGUGGUUGUGAUGGGAUCCAGAGCAAGAGAAUUAAGAAAUGUGAGGAAAAUCCCAACCACUGCAGGGCCUGCGUUUCCAAGGACACAGCUGAUCUUUCUCACGUGAUGGCAUGAGCUUAAACUGAGCUCCGCAGAAAGAUGUGUGCCUCGGGGUUUGUUUGUCUCACUCUGCAAACUGAGCAAGAUUCUCCAGUGGAACAGACAAGCAGGGAUGGGACUGCACACUGAGAGAUGAAGUACAAACCUGAGUUUUAAUAAGCUUUGUAAAAUAUAUCAGGCUCCCAAAUGUCACAGAGUGAGAAAGACAUUUCAAUCCUGAAUUAAUGAGUAGCGUCACAGAGCCAGCUAUAAGGCAGGCACGGAUAUGAAUAUAAAUCAGCAUGUGUGUCUUACCAACAACCAAAUAGCUUGUGACAUCCUGCAGCAUAAAGUUGUUAAUAAAAAGCAUAGCUAAUUUAGAGAUCAAAUUAAUGGUGUCAGGAGUACAUUUCUUUUCCCCCUGGAUGACUAGAAUGAUGCCCCAGGAUUGGACUCCUGGCAGGUGGCACUUUGCUAACAAAGCAAUGUCCAGGACUGGAUGAAGUGCAGUCCUAUGGCAGCUCUGUGUGCAGGCAGAACCAAGUGGGCUUUGGGCAUGGGGUGCGUUCCUGGAGCCCACGCACUUCCCUCUCCUGGAGAAACCAAUGGAGACCAUGGUGUGCUGGAAACAACAGUGCUUCAUUCAACCUUCCUGGCAGUCCUUUGGGCUGUAUUUCAAUGAGUUGUUAUUUUGAUAAACAGCUCGCAUGCCAAGAGCUUGCAAGGUGAAGAAGCGCAUGCUCAGCGUUUCCCAGAAGCUGCAGCAUCGCAUUUGGAUGCACGGCUCAUGUGAUUUCAUCUCCAGAAGCUGCUUACUUUCAUUAUAAUGUUGCUUUGUGCUGGUUGUGUUUUGAAAAGUUGGCUACUGUGGUGAACCCAACCCAUGUCAGGGUUGAGAAAGGGUCAGGUUGGAUAGAAAACAUCCAGCAACACCAGCUGCAGGGCUGGAGCUCGCUGCCUCUGCUCUUCUCAGCCAGAGCAGUGAUGAUACAGCUCAGGCUGGGCAGAAGGGAUAGAAGGUGCCAGCCGCAGUGUCACUCAUGUCACUUGUGUCACUGUGACCUGGCCACGAUGACGUGUCUCCUGCUGUCACACUGCCACCCUCAUGGCAGCUGGGGAGGUUUUGAAGGGAUAACUUCAGGCAGCAUAAUUCAAGACUUCAGCUCAGAAUUUAGCCCCGGUUCUCUGGAUUAGAUGCUCUUGUUUUGUGUUUAGCUUUGGGAAGGAGAAGAAUUAAUCAGCCUGCAAGGGGCUGAUGCAAAAAGAAAACCAAAACUAAAAGAAAUUUUAAUAAAAGCUACAGCAUUAACAAGUACUGAACUAAUGACCUUUGAUAUAUGAAGCAAAUGCUUCAUCCACUAGUCUAUGCAAUGUUUCAUUACCAGCCAUGGGAAUUUACAGGUGUUAAAUUAGCUGCAAGAUAGCUCCCAUAUUGUGACCGUAAUAGAACACAUUGAAAAAGUUAAUAAAGAACUGAACAUAGGGGCUGCAGAGUUCAAAUGCAACCUCCUUGCCAGUUCAUUUUGAGGUCUUCAUCAGCUGAAUUCCAGCACAGGCAAUGAUUCUGCAUCUGAUUCUCUUUAUUCCUUCUUAAUCCUGGAGGACAGCAUCCACUAGAAGUGCAGCACUGCUGGUACAGAGGUGGAAGCCAAGAGAGCAGCCACAGAAGCGACAUUGCACUGCUCUAAUCAGGCAUUAGUUUCACAUCCUGCCUUGGAUUUUUCUUUUACCAAUUUUACUACAAUCUGCAGAUAGGAACUAUCAUUUUAUACAAUUAUGAAACGGUUCUGAAACUGUUGGUGUCAAACAGUUGGACAGAUGUAGAGGCUGAAACUUCAUCCAUACUUUCCAGUUAGACAACCACAAUCGAAAAACAACUGAUUGCCUAUGAUGCCUGUAAAUGUUACAAUUGCAUUUCAAAGUCACACUCCAGCUUCCUUGCUGUUCACAAAACCCUGGUAGACAGCACACACACUUGCUCAAAGUCCUUGACUCAACUCCCUACACAGCUGCUCUCUCUGCUUCUGUUUGUGCUGAAGCUGUGGCCAUUUGCAGGUGCAUGGGAUUUCUUCGCCUCAUGCUGUGUGCAUGAUGUAGGUUCUGGUCCACUGAUAAGAACAGUUAUUGCUUCCUCUCUUGGAGAUAAAACUGUGUUUGAGAAGUACAGUGUAAUACACUCGGGGCAGGAAGGAGAGAUUCUCUGAAGGUUCACAAAUAGGAUUCUCAGACUUCACUUUUUUCUUCUUCAAACAGGAUUUUGUGUGUUCAGAAGUCCUUUGGUACUACCAAACCACAUAGAUUAAAGGCUGGAUUUCAUCUAACAGCCUCAACAAUUUAGCAAAACAAAAUCUUUAAUAUACACUAGCAGUAAAAAAUAUAGGGGGAAACAAAUAAACAAACAACAACAUGAGCAGGGGAGUGGAUGGGAUUACUCUCCAGCUCAGGCAGACCAUGAGAACCAGCAGUCAGACUGGAUGCAAAGAGAAGAAAGGAAAACAAGCAAGGUGGGCAGAGCAGGUGCUCCUGGUUAUUGUUCUCUGUGCUUUUCGUUGAAGAACCAAUUAUUCUAAGACUUAGGUUGUUAAAGUUAAGAUUGAAUGAAUGGCUUCAGCAGUGGUGAAAGUGAUGAUGGAGAGCCCUUGGCUGGGCAAUGCAGGAGGACAGCUAAAUUAACAAGUAAUUAGAGCUCCUCUGGCCAUGGCCAAGGCCACAAUUCAAAGCAGAGGAUCUGGGGCAGGAGGGAAUGAGCAGUCCUGUCCAUCUGGUUGCAGCCAUGUUUGCUGCCUGCAAACGUUCUCUCUGGUGCUACAGGAAAGCCACAGGUUAUUCUGCAAAUGCAACAUUCAUUUUCCAUGAACAACAGCCAGACAACAAGUUUAAAGCUAAAUUAGAUACAAACAUCACGCAACAUCCCCCUCUAAAGAAGCAAAAACAUGACAGAUGGGAAAAUAUACUAAAGUAAUUUUAUGACAGUUGCAACAAGCCAAGAAACUAUGGCAGUAGAUAGAAAAUAGAAUUCUAGGAUGUAUGUACCAUUUGCUGUUUCCAUUGGUGUGGGGCUGCGUGGCAGAGCCAGCAGGCAGUCCCUCAGUGCCCAUGUUGGCUGCAGGAUGCCAUGGGGCAGGCAGACAGCACCGAGCUCAGCACUGCCGUCCCCAGCCCUCGUCCAGGCAGGGAGGGGCUGCACGGUGCUUUAUUUCCUGUUGCUCGUGGCUGCCUCGCUGACCCCUCUCCUGGUAAAUGAAACACCUCUGGCAGCACAGUGAGUUUGAUUAAAAAACAGGAAAUAUAGGAGGUAAGACAUUUUCAAUAAUGCCUUCAAAACUGGGGCCUGGUCCAAUGGGCCCUAACUCAUCCAUGUCAAAGAAGCUAUCACUGGGUAAGGGAUGUGAGUUCCAUCCUUGCUGUGCAAUGAACUCAGCUUUGGAAUGAAUCUCAAUUGUUUUUCUUGAUCUUUCCUUAUUUUGUUAAACAAAGGCUCUAUAUGAUUUUCUCUCACUGUGUCUCCUGGGAGGUUGCAUUUUCUCUGCUCUUUAGCACUGAAUCACAGUAUGUUACAUUUAUAUGGUACCCAAGGGAUCCCGAAGCAUGCAGAAAUCAUAAGCCAAAUUUCACUCUUGGAAGCAUGAGCUCAGCUCAUACCAAAGUUAAUGGGAGGUGAGCACAGACAUCUAAAGGGAAGAGUUGGCCCAUCAAGACAGAGGACUCUUUUCACCCACCACCUAAAGCAGCUGCCCGCAGGCAGAGCCCAGCCCAGCCCAUCCCGGAGGUGCUGGUGGCUGCCAGUUGCCAGUGCUGUGGGACAGCUCUGUGUUAGCACCACCUGCAGAUGGGCUCUAGGCUUCCAUGGACACUGUUGCAUCACUGCGCGACCCCUUGGUUUCUACAGUGACAAAAUCAAAGGGCUCUUAACACUGUUUCUGUUUCUUUGUUUCUAUUUCAGAUUGACUUGCACUUUUCAACCUGAAUCAUUCCAUGUAAGGGGUUUUUAAGGCCCGCUCUGUCAGACAGGGAAGCCUGAACAAAGCUCUGUAGCUUGUGUGUCAUCGCUGUGCUUGCUGUGCUUGCACAUCAGAGGAGAGAUUUAUUUUUAAAUUCUCUCUGUUCCUUUUUUUCUUGCUCUGAAGACAGGUGGUCAGUGGGCUGAUGUCCCAUCUGCUGGCACAAGGCACAGCGUCUAGUGGCACAGGCAUGGAUCACAGGUUCACACCCAGUGUCCAGCACAGCAAGCAGAGAGGAGAAACUCCCUUCCCGUGCUCUUGUUUUCCUUCAGUUUUGCUAGCGAAGGAUGAAUUUCAUACUGUUCUGAGUACUUUUUUGGAUAACCCACCCCAAAGAUGCAAUCCAGAUGCACAGCCAAGUGCCUUAAACCUCUGAACCGACUAAACCAAAUUAUAUAAAAUCUUCUGAGUUUGCAAAAUCGAGUUGGGAAUCUCAAGAAAACAGGCGUGCUUAGGGGAUUUCCAGCAUUUCCUCCUCCUUCGCAGGUUGGCAGUAUCACAGAGCAGCCUCUUCCCAUGGUGUUCUGGCACUCCUGGGCUCCUUCCCAGCCAGGAGAGUAAUUUGCAAAGGUGCCCAAAGUUAAAAAAUUAUGGGGGAAAAUGUUAUUUGGCCUGUUCAAAGCACAGAGAGCUUCUUUUAAGCAUGGGACGAAAUGAUGGCUUAUUAUCCAGACAGGUCCUCCUUUCCCCGACUCUUUGUGUGAUGACUGUAUGGAGCUGCUGCUGGAAAGCCAAGUGCUGUGGGACCUGAAAGGAAGAGCAGAAAGCUAUUUCCCUGCCUGUUCCACUUGUGGAUGGACUUCAACCAAAAGCUAAGAUCCAUGCUGAAGGAAAAUUGUCAUAAGGCGCCAGGACCAGCUCUCACAAAAGGCCUCUCACUCUUCAUCAGCGUAAUUAACCUCCUGAGGCCAAACUUAAGAGCUGGAAGCACCAGGAAGCAGCCCUCAGUGCUCAGUGUGCUGGCUUAGCAUGCAGUCACACUCUCUCACGUCGCUUAAUGCAGGUGCACACCACUCCCAUUUCCAGACAAGCUCUGUCUCUCUCCCUGCCCAUUGCUUCCUUCCAAAAGCUAGAAUAAGUCAGGGGCCAGGGUGUCUGAUGCCUGCACAGGCUGCUUAGCCCCAGCCUUGCUCUGCAUGCAGAGCUGAGCAGGGCUGCUCCCAUCCCCAAGCUCUUAGCUCCCCACACUGCACUUAUCAGCAGGGCCUGGUAACUGGCCUCAGGACUGCUGCCAAACCAGUACAAAUCUACAGGAACUCUUUUCGUUUAAAUCCUACUGCUCAGAUGAAUAGGGCUGUGCAUGCACGCACACACAGGGCUGCUGCGGCUUGGCAGAUGAGCGGCACCUCAUUAAGUUGCAAUAACUCAAUCACGCGUUAUCAUCACAAUCUCUAUUCUCUUAACUCCGCAGUUGGGUGCUUUCAAAGGCUCUGAGAACUCAGAGGUCCCACUGGCGGCGGUGGGGCUCGCAGGUGCUCCAGCCUCUGAAGAUCAAGGCACUGUGUGCAGAUGUGGGAAUACAGCUCUCUGCCUCCACUCGUGGAGUGCCCAAGUCAGGAGACCACAGUGCCCAUUUGGAGGAGCGGAUGGGUUGAGCACAAAGGAGCGGGCAUGGGUUUGAACUGGGAAACUCAACACUGGCCCAAAUCCUGGGGGGACACCUGACCUCGGUGUGACUCCACAGACCCCAGUGUCCAUUUAUCGCUGUCAUCCUGAGCUCUCUCCUUUAGCUUACAAAUGCAAUGGACCAGCUUCCCUGAGGUCAUGUUUUAAAUAUACCACCCUGGGGCUACUCUUUAAAAUUCAGAGUAUCAGAGGACACACAGAGAGGGCGUUUCGCAUCAUUUCUGACAAGCAGAAAUUCUCCUUGACAAACUGAAAGUUUGCCCACAAAUCUGAACAAUGAUGCUGAACAAGUUUGCUGUGGAUAGCCCUUAUGAAGAAGAGGGGAAGUGAUGCUGCUGAGGUCAGAUCCCAACACAAGUAUGGGAAGAACCCCAAGGAUGAAUGCAAUGACCCUUCACACCACUCAGAUCUAGGGAUCAAGGGGGUCCCCCCAGCACAAUGAUGCUCUCCUUUCCUAAGAAGCACCAGCAAACUGGUGUGAGUGGAGAAGUGACUUCAGAGUUGAACCCAAGCUCUGCAUGGCUGCCAGCAGCCAUCCCCAUGGACAGAGCAUAUACCUUUAAGUGCUGUUCACUUGCUCCCUAAAAGGGAGAAAAAAAAUAUAUUAAUAAAAUAAAUAAAUAAAUAAAUGUCUGUUAGGAAUUA